UGAGUAACACGUAUCCAACCUGCCGUCUACUCUUGGACAGCCUUCUGAAAGGGAGAUUAAUACAAGAUGGCAUCAUGAGUCCACAUGUUCACAUGAUUAAAGGUAUUCCGGUAGACGAUGGGGAUGCGUUCCAUUAGAUAGUAGGCGGGGUAACGGCCCACCUAGUCUUCGAUGGAUAGGGGUUCUGAGAGGAAGGUCCCCCACAUUGGAACUGAGACACGGUCCAA
This 227-nucleotide ribosomal RNA is filed under the name uncultured bacterium. RNAcentral describes it as "partial 16S ribosomal RNA". It matches the Rfam family "Bacterial small subunit ribosomal RNA", at positions 107 to 334 of the family's 1533-position model. The record is from RNAcentral.